RNAcentral lists this ribosomal RNA (1296 nucleotides) under Triticum aestivum (bread wheat). RNAcentral's name for it is "partial small subunit ribosomal RNA". Lineage: Eukaryota; Viridiplantae; Streptophyta; Magnoliopsida; Poales; Poaceae. The record is from RNAcentral.
AUGGCGCCGCCCCCCACCUCCGGCCCGCAGCAGCGGCGGCUCCUCCAGGCGGCGGCCGACGGCGACCUCCGCCUCUUCAAGAGCAUCGCGAGCGCGCUGGACGGCGGGAAGGGCCGCGUCAAGGAGGCGGUGGAGGCCGUCAGGAAUUGCGGCGCCGGGGCGCUGCACACCGCCGCCGGCCGCGGGAGGACCCCGAUGUGCGCGUACUUGGUCGAGGAGCUUGGCGUGGACGUCAAUGCUGCAGACGACAAAGGUGCUACACCUCUGACUUAUGCACUUCGUUGGCGGGCUGUGGAUACUGUGAGGUAUCUCUUUGAUCAUGGUGCCGAUGCAGAAAAGGCAGAAAAGCCUGGUGAACAAGGUUUUACCCCUCUUCAUGUNNNNNNNNNNNCAGGAUUGUGUGAAAUGAUAGAAGUCUUGCUCUCAAAAGGAGCUGAUGUUAAUUGGUUUUCUUACCGUGGGACACUACUGCAUUCUGCUAUUAUCGGAAAGCAGGUUGCUGCCGUGAAGCUCUUGUUGGAUCAUCAUGCGGAUUGUAACAAGCCAGUGUCCCUACAUUAUACACCUCUGAUCGCUGCUCUCCAUGCCCGCUCGCUGAAAUGUGUGAAGCUUCUGAUUGAGGCGGGUGCUGAUGCGAAGGGUGUUCCUCCGCUAACCCCCUUAAUAGUUGCUGCAAAUGAUGGUUUAACUGAUUUCUACGAACCUUUACUUCGGGCCGGUGCUGAUCCUGAUGUUCGUGAUGAUGGAGGUCAGCUGCCAAUAGAGAUUGCUGCACGUAACAAUAGACGGAAAGAUGUUGAGACCCUUUUUCCAGUAACAUCUCAUAUUCCCUAUGUGCGUGAUUGGAGUGUUGAUGGGAUACUUGCUUAUGUCAAAUCAGUGCCGAAGGAGGAGGAUGACCCGUUAUACAAAAUGGGGCCAGCUUAUCUGAAACUGGAAGGAACCAAGGCUUACAAGAGAAAAGAUUAUGUUUCUGCAAUAAAUUUCUACUCCAUGGCAAUCAAGCUUAACCCUGGAGAUGUAACCUUGCAUUCAAAUAAGAGCCUUUGCUGGAUUAACCUGGGGGAAGGAGACAAGGCCUUGGAGGACGCCGAGUUUUGCAGGAUGAUACGGCCUGAUUGGCCAAAGGCCUGUUACAGGCAAGGGGCUGCCCAAAUGUUAUUGAAGAACUAUGAAAAGGCAUGUGAAGCAUUCCAAGAUGGUCUGAAGUUGGACCCAACAAAUGUUGAGAUUGAGAAUGCAUUACGGGAGGCAGUCAAGUCCUUGAAGAUAUCUCAUGCCAAAAUGGUUUCAUGA